Molecule: ribosomal RNA, 469 nt
Filed under: Streptococcus mitis
Lineage: Bacteria; Bacillati; Bacillota; Bacilli; Lactobacillales; Streptococcaceae
Description: bacterial SSU rRNA
Rfam family: Bacterial small subunit ribosomal RNA
Source: RNAcentral
GACGAACGCUGGCGGCGUGCCUAAUACAUGCAAGUAGAACGCUGAAGGAGGAGCUUGCUUCUCCGGAUGAGUUGCGAACGGGUGAGUAACGCGUAGGUAACCUGCCUGGUAGCGGGGGAUAACUAUUGGAAACGAUAGCUAAUACCGCAUAAGAGUAGAUGUUGCAUGACAUUUGCUUAAAAGGUGCAAUUGCAUCACUACCAGAUGGACCUGCGUUGUAUUAGCUAGUUGGUGGGGUAACGGCUCACCAAGGCGACGAUACAUAGCCGACCUGAGAGGGUGAUCGGCCACACUGGGACUGAGACACGGCCCAGACUCCUACGGGAGGCAGCAGUAGGGAAUCUUCGGCAAUGGACGGAAGUCUGACCGAGCAACGCCGCGUGAGUGAAGAAGGUUUUCGGAUCGUAAAGCUCUGUUGUAAGAGAAGAAACGAAGUGUGAAGAAGUGGAAAAGUUUCACCACUGUGAAU